This 69-nucleotide transfer RNA is filed under the name Salix wilsonii. Its description in RNAcentral is "tRNA-fMet". It matches the Rfam family "tRNA". Rfam says of the family: Transfer RNA (tRNA) molecules are approximately 80 nucleotides in length. Their secondary structure includes four short double-helical elements and three loops (D, anti-codon, and T loops). Further hydrogen bonds mediate the characteristic L-shaped molecular structure. tRNAs have two regions of fundamental functional importance: the anti-codon, which is responsible for specific mRNA codon recognition, and the 3' end, to which the tRNAs corresponding amino acid is attached (by aminoacyl-tRNA synthetases). tRNAs cope with the degeneracy of the genetic code in two manners: having more than one tRNA (with a specific anti-codon) for a particular amino acid; and 'wobble' base-pairing, i.e. permitting non-standard base-pairing at the 3rd anti-codon position. The record is from RNAcentral. Lineage: Eukaryota; Viridiplantae; Streptophyta; Magnoliopsida; Malpighiales; Salicaceae.
GGGUAGAGCAGCUUGGUAGCUCGCAAGGCUCAUAACUUGAGGUCACGGGUUCAAAUCCCGUCUCCGCAA